Choloepus didactylus (southern two-toed sloth) is the source of this 1503-nucleotide long non-coding RNA. RefSeq lists it as uncharacterized. The transcript has 3 exons. The record is from RefSeq and is a predicted model, not a curated record. Lineage: Eukaryota; Metazoa; Chordata; Mammalia; Pilosa; Megalonychidae.
GGUCGGAUAGGCCGUGUGGGUUGGCGAGGUCGUGCCCCUUCCUUCGGGUGUGGCCAAGUUUGGAGGAUUCUUAGGUGGAAAAAGCACCUCUACUCGCGGAGGAAAACGAGAGGUUCCGAGUGGGAGUUCUGGGGCUGCUCGGGUUCGAAUUCCACUCCUCCUCUCGGGGUCCUUUGGCGGUGACUCAAUCUGUGUGUUUCCUCCUCUGGAAAAUGGGGAUAAUGAUAGUGCCCUCCUUGAAGGAAUGCUGUGGGGAGUAAAUAAGAUAAGGCAUGUGAAGGAUUUUCCUAGCAAGGAAUUCACACAGCAGAUGAGGUAGCUGAGCCUUAGAGAGGUUUUCCUGUGGUCUCCACUCCGGUGUGGGAGAGCUGGGACUUGUAAUCUGAUGUUCAGAUCUGCUCCUAAGCACAACGAUCGAGUCACAACAGUGAUUUCAAGCACCAGAGAGAAGAAACCCCGACAUGUGGGCAAGAACACCAUCCAAACUCUAACCACAAGCUGUCAUUUAUCUGUGUAAUGCCAUGGAAACUGUGAUUUAAACUCUCCAAUAUCCCUAAUGACUUGCUUGCAUAAAUGACUUUUUGGGUGACUAUUAGAGUUAGCCUUAUAAGUGGACAUGAAGGGAUGUGAUUUGAGAUGAGCCAAACAGCUCAAUACCUCCUCCCCUGUUGGCUGUGGCUCCUCUGAAGUUCCACCAUUAGUAAUUCAUGCCACUGAAUCAAAGGUGAUUUUUCAUUAUAUGAGACUCCUAAUAAAAAUAUCCCUGGGUGGAUAAUUGAAGCAGGUAUAUAGGAGCCAGGUGAGCUGCUGCCUUCUCUAACCUCAGCAACCACUCACACCCCUUCCAACCUGGCCUGGUGCAUAUGAACUUUAUAAGAUCCUAGUUCAGUCCUGGCCAGUUCUGGAGCAAUUCAGAAAGUUAGUGUCCUUCACCUACCAGUAGGAAGGAUUUGGCAGUUCAUUCAUUCAUUCAGCAAAUGUUUACUCAGCAGCUUUGGGGCUACUAGAGUAAACAAAGUCUCUGCCCUCAUGGAGUUUACAUUAUGGUGUAGGAGAUAAAGACAGUGACAAAUUCACCAAUAAAUGCAUGGUGAUGAGGGCUGUGAAGAGAAACAAAUCAGGGUAAGUGGGCUGGAGAGUGUUAGGGAUGGGGAAAGAUGUGUGUGAUGUUUUACACAGAGUGGACAGGGAAGUUCUCUGGGAUAAGGAGACAAUUGGCAGAGAGCUGUAAACAGUGGGUGACCCAGCCACACGGGGGAAGAGCUUCCAGGCAGCGGGAGCAGGGGCAUGCUUGGUGUGUUUGAGGGAAGCAAACUGGGUGGAGUUUGAGGAAAGCAAACUGGCAGGGUGGAAACUUGGGGAAGGUGAUCCAUGAGCAGUCAGGGAGAUGGAGUAGAUAGGAACAGUUAUUCUCUGUAUAAAACAUGUGUCAGCUUGGCCAGGUGAUGGUGUCCAGUUGUCUGCUCAAGCAAGCAUUGGCCUAACUUACUGCAGGGACAUUUG